UGCAUGUUAUUCCCCUCGGUCCGCCUCCUCCCCGCCAUCCGUCGUCCGCUGUCAUCGUUUCUCGUGUCGGAUGUUGAUCGGUGAGCCAUGGAAGUUUCCUGAUGUGACUUCAGUUGAGGUAGGUUGCUAUUGUGCUUUGCCGUCGUGGAUUUAAUCUUCCCCGCUGCCUUUUUCGCUUUGAUUUUGUUUGUGUUCUCAUUUCCAGAGUUGUUUGCCUGUUUCCUAUUGUAUUGUGGGUGCUGAUCUGUUGUUUCCUCUGGCAAACACAAAUUCGAUUAGGUGUUCGGGUACUUUAUCCAUGCCCCCUAAUUUAUUUUUCUUUGGUUUGAAGGUCGCCUGUGUUGAUGGUUGGAAUUGGUGGUGAGUUCAUCGGUCUUCUUGCUGCAUCUAUACUAGAUUCAGGUCGUGGAAGUUUUCGUUCUCAACUUUGAACACUAUGUGUCUGUAGUGCAUUGGUGCAUUGGUGAUUCACUAUCUCUUUUAUGUGCCAUUUCGUUCCUGCCAUAGGUGUUCUCUUCGAUGCCUCCUACUCUUUGUAGCCAUGAGAGUGAUACUACUAAAAUGUUGACAAUUCCUUACAUUAUGAAUUUCCAAUUGCUUUAAUUCUAAGCACAACAGAGAAAUAUGUUUGGAAUGAUUGCUUAUACCUAAUCCCUCUUUAAUGUGGUGAUUUACUUCUGAAAGAUUUGUGCCAUUUGCCUAUAGUUGUAAUUACAUACUUGCUUGAACUUUGACUUGGACCUUUCAUCCACCUAUCUUAUGGAACAUGAAUAGGAAACUUUCCAAAAAAAUAGAUGAUCGUUU
Molecule: long non-coding RNA, 804 nt
Filed under: Triticum aestivum (bread wheat)
Lineage: Eukaryota; Viridiplantae; Streptophyta; Magnoliopsida; Poales; Poaceae
Description: long non-coding RNA (TAES_LNC010234)
Source: RNAcentral